Molecule: long non-coding RNA, 2609 nt
Filed under: Mus musculus (house mouse)
Lineage: Eukaryota; Metazoa; Chordata; Mammalia; Rodentia; Muridae
Description: long non-coding RNA chr3:136683812-136686421
Source: RNAcentral
UAUUUUUUUUUUUAAAGAGAUUUUUCGUCAGGGGUAAUAAUGCACGCCUUUAAUCCCAGUGCUUGGGAGGUAGAGGCAGAUACCCGUGAGCUUGAGUUUAGCCUGGUCUAUAGAGAGUUCCAGGACAGCCAGAGCCAGACAGUGAGACCCAUCUCUAAACAAAUAAACAAACAGACAGAUAGACAGACAAACAAACAAAUAAAACUAAAAAUAAAAAAAACAAAAAACAAAAAACCCAGCUUGAUUCCUGUAAGAUGACUAAGAGGCCACCUACCUUGGGAGAGGCCUUAGUUCACUUCUGGAUAAAUCUGGAAUUCAGCCCUGCAUUCUCUAUAUGUCACUGCAAGCCCGCGGCAGGAAGCCACGUGUCCGCGUUGAAUUCAUUUCUCAUCUUGAAAGAAGGGAUGGUGCUAAGUUUGCAAGUUUGAGACAAGGAGAGAAAUCCCGUGCAGAGACGCCAAGCCUGGGGCCUGCUCAGAAAGAGCGUUUGGAGCGUGGCAGACCCUGUUGCUUUAGUAGACGACAGCUCCUUGGAGAGCCAGGCUUUCUACUCCUAGAAGGGCUUUCUUUGCAUUAGGUGUGUGUUUCCUCUUAUCCUGUCCACCACUCUCCUGGUGGCUUGGGGGCCUCUGCCCUUACAGAGAAGAAGUUCGUAUUGGUCUGCGAAGACUUUCCCGAGUCCAGACUCAGUUCCCUUUGAACAGAUGGGCUGUGUGCUCCAUGGCUUUGCCCCUUUUCAGUUUUGUUUGCAGCUCCUCUUGACCAAGUCCUGCAUGUUCAUGUUCUUAUAUCUCUGUGCUCAGCCCUCCAGGCUGUCUUGCUUCCUUCAAGUCAUCGCUGAUGACUGCUUGUAGACGGAUGACUAGCACAUCUAUAUUUACAAUCUGUUCUUUCCCCCUCUGGAAGGAUUUCUCAAGCCCUGCGACAACGACAGUUGCUAUGUAUGGGUGUGGUGCAAAUACAGUGGGGGAACUGUUCGGUGUUUCCUGGCCUGGCGAUGUUGCCACCAUCCAUCUGGCCAAUCCAACCUGUCACUCAGUUCAGGCCUUUUAAAUGCUUCUACCCUGUUGCAGCAACCCUCCAACAACAGUCUCUGCCUUCAGCCUGACUUCUGUACAAUCAUUUUCUCCUACGAUGUUUAGAGUGAUUUCCUUUUACAAAACUGAACAGAUUCUUCAGGCUCUUGUGGCUCGGGAUAGCCUUGAACUGGACCUGUACGUGAGGGUGGGCUUGAACAUUUGGUCUUCCCCCCCUCCACUUCCCUAGUGUUUGGGCUUAUGGGCUUGCUCUGCCAUGCUCAGCUUAUGGGAUGUUGGGGACUGAAGCCAGGGUUGCCUGAAUGCCAGACAAGCAUGAUACCAACCGAGCCGAAUCACUACUCUAUCCGUUAGUUAUUGAGCUUAGCUUUACUCGUACUUGACCCUUAUGAAUACAUGAAGUCUGGAACUAUUUAUUGUGAAGCACAUGCUAUUUUAUCUUGAAAUCUUGUCACUACUUCAUUGGCAUUUCAGUUCCUGGCUGCAGAGAGAACAUUUUUUUAUUCAGGGAUGUGUUGAGAAUGUCUGAGUUCUAUAUGGUGAGAGUUGUUUGAAACAUAGUAAUCUACCUUUAAUUACAAAUCAUUCAAUCAAUCAAUCUGGCUCUGGGACUUGGAUUCUGUCACUGAGUUGAAGCCACAGCCUAUUUUGUCCCACUGGGCUGCUCAGGCUGGCUUUGAGCAUGCCGUCCCCAUACUUCACCUACCAUCACAACCCUGAACUACCAGAGCUGAGGUUGAAAUACACUUAAAUCCAAACUCGACUUCCAUGAUAAGUGGGGCUCCUUAGCUUUUCUCUUUGGACCUCUGCACCCCAUGGCCACAGCUGUGUGCUGUCUGCCUUUCAUAUCACAAUGUGACACCAAUGUUUGCAGCUUGUUUUCCUCUCCUUAAGUGCAACUCUUUGAGGGUUUAUCUUACACACUCUACCUCCCAACUGGUUAGUGAGAUGCCUAGAAUAUAAUUCUGCCUUUUUAAAAAAAAACCCUAAAUCCAAUUGAAGGAGGUAUAUGAAUAUCUGUAUAUGCAUCGAUGUCACAGAAAUGGUGAUACUGGCAUUUUUUUUUCCAGUAUCAGACUUUUAAUUAAUGUUGUUAAAGUUGAAUUAUAUUAUGUAAAAACUUUGAUUUACCUUCUUAUCCUGUCUAAAUGAAAUUUUCAUGUGGUAAAUUUAUAAGCCAGCUAGGCCUUCUUUGCUGUAGACUUUGUAACUUCUAUAUAAUUCUAAGCACAGCAUUUAACAACCCAUUUGGAUUGGAUCAUGCUAAACAAACCCAUAUCUCCUUAGUUAUUCAUUUAAUAUUUUCCUUAUAAUUUGUGUCUGAGUAGAUUUAUCUGAGCGUUCACCUGAACCAGGAUACCAAAUUAAUUUCCACAGGAAACACAUUGUUAGAUUCCUAUUGUAGGUUCUGCACAUAGAAUAUUGGAAAAGAUGGGAUUGGGUUAAGGAGAAACUUGUAGGUUUGGUUUGAAGACAGACAGACAGACAGACAGACAGACACACACACACACACACACACACACACACACAGAGAGAGAGAGAGAGAGAGAGAGAGAGAGAGAACAGACAAUU